Molecule: long non-coding RNA, 298 nt
Filed under: Homo sapiens (human)
Lineage: Eukaryota; Metazoa; Chordata; Mammalia; Primates; Hominidae
Description: non-protein coding lnc-KIF18A-3:1
Source: RNAcentral
UGGUCUGAUUUGUCUGGAACCUGGAGGAGGAGGCUCCAGCGCUGGUGAACACUGCUGUGACGUAUUUGAAGCCUAGAUUGGCCACAUUUAGAUAUUAAGCCAAAGUUGAGCUAACUCCUCCAACUCCUACUGAGAUCCUGACAGCUAUUCAGAGCCUGAAAAAAAUAGUCAACAGUGCUUACACUGCUAGCUUCUAACAGCUGACAGUUAAGGAAGCUGUGCUGAAUGGUUCAGUGGCCACUGAGGUGUAAAUGUGGUUUUAUAUUGGAGCAAUCAUAAGUAAGCAUUGCACCAUUGC